Molecule: small RNA, 676 nt
Filed under: Pan troglodytes (chimpanzee)
Lineage: Eukaryota; Metazoa; Chordata; Mammalia; Primates; Hominidae
Description: retained intron
Source: RNAcentral
GACGCGCGCGUCGGGGUUUAACGCGUUUCUGGGCCGCCGUAAGCCCGGCCUAGGGGCAGCUUUGACUCGAGAGCCGGCUACAGGCGCAUGGAAGGUUCCCUGGAACGGGAGGCGCCCCCGGCGGCGCUGGCCGCCGUGCUAAAGCACAGCUCGACGUUGCCGCCCGAAAGCACCCAGGUCCGGGGCUACGACUUCAACCGCGGUGUGAAUUACCGCGCACUGCUGGAGGCCUUCGGCACCACCGGCUUCCAGGCAACCAACUUCGGGCGCGCUGUACAGCAAGUCAAUGCCAUGAUCGAGAAGAAGCUGGAACCGCUGUCACAGGAUGAAGACCAGCACGCGGACCUGACCCAGAGCCGCCGCCCACUUACCAGCUGCACCAUUUUCCUGGGAUAUACAUCCAACCUCAUCAGUUCAGGCAUCCGUGAGACCAUUCGCUACCUUGUGCAGCACAACAUGGUGGGGACCUGGUGGGGCCGUGGCCUUGGCCUCUGGGUCAAUGGGCAAUGCAGUUAUUGAUCGUUUAAGUGAGAUGGGCAGAUAGGGGUCUGUUAUAAGCAGAGGAAUAGAAUCAAGUUUUGUUUUGUAGCAGAGCUCCCUCAUAAGAGUCACUGGACAAGGAUGAGGUUAGAAGUUCUGCCCAGAAUGAGGGCAGGGGCUUCCUUCUUGGGCCAAA